AGACCCGAAACCCGGUGAUCUAGCCAUGGGCAGGUUGAAGGUUGGGUAACACUAACUGGAGGACCGAACCGACUAAUGUUGAAAAAUUAGCGGAUGACCUGUGGCUGGGGGUGAAAGGCCAAUCAAACCGGGAGAUAGCUGGUUCUCCCCGAAAGCUAUUUAGGUAGCGCCUCGUGAAUUCAUCUCCGGGGGUAGAGCACUGUUUCGGCUAGGGGGCCAUCCCGGCUUACCAACCCGAUGCAAACUGCGAAUACCGGAGAAUGUUAUCACGGGAGACACACGGCGGGUGCUAACGUCCGUCGUGAAGAGGGAAACAACCCAGACCGCCAGCUAAGGUCCCAAAGUCAUGGUUAAGUGGGAAACGAUGUGGGAAGGCCCAGACAGCCAGGAUGUUGGCUUAGAAGCAGCCAUCAUUUAAAGAAAGCGUAAUAGCUCACUGGUCGAGUCGGCCUGCGCGGAAGAUGUAACGGGGCUAAACCAUGCACCGAAGCUGCGGCAGCGACGUUUAUGCGUUGUUGGGUAGGGGAGCGUUCUGUAAGCCUGCGAAGGUGGCCUGUGAGGGUUGCUGGAGGUAUCAGAAGUGCGAAUGCUGACAUAAGUAACGAUAAAGCGGGUGAAAAG
Molecule: ribosomal RNA, 621 nt
Filed under: Salmonella enterica
Lineage: Bacteria; Pseudomonadati; Pseudomonadota; Gammaproteobacteria; Enterobacterales; Enterobacteriaceae
Description: partial 23S ribosomal RNA
Rfam family: Bacterial large subunit ribosomal RNA
Source: RNAcentral